AAUAGAUACCCUGGUAGUCCACGCCCUAAACGAUGCAUACUUGGUGUGGGUAGUUCAUUCUAUCCGUGCCGGAGCUAACGCGUUAAGUAUGCCGCCUGGGGAGUACGGUCGCAAGGCUGAAACUACGAAAGGAAGUUGACGGGGGCCCGCACAAGCGGUGGAGCAUGUGGUUUAAUUCGACGCAACGCGAAGAACCUUACCUGGGCUCGAACGGCUUUGGACGGCUUUUGGAAACAGAGGCUUUCCCGCAAGGGACUGAAGUCGAGGUGCUGCAUGGCUGUCGUCAGCUCGUGUCGUGAGAUGUUGGGUUAAGUCCCGCAACGAGCGCAACCCUGUCCUGUGUUGCAACUAAUAGGCACUCUCAGGAGACCGCCAGCGAUAAGCUGGAGGAAGGUGGGGAUGACGUCAAGUCAUCAUGGCCUUUAUGUCCAGGGCUACACACGUGCUACAAUGGGCGGUACAGACCGCUGCAAACCUGCGAGGGGGAGCAAAUACGGAAAAAACCGUUACUCAGUUCGGAUUGCAGG
This 527-nucleotide ribosomal RNA is filed under the name uncultured bacterium. Its description in RNAcentral is "bacterial SSU rRNA". It matches the Rfam family "Bacterial small subunit ribosomal RNA", at positions 777 to 1304 of the family's 1533-position model. The record is from RNAcentral.